GGGCGUUUACCACGGAGUGAUUCAUGACUGGGGUGAAGUCGUAACAAGGUAGCCCUAGGGGAACCUGGGGCUGGAUCACCUCCUUAAACGA
RNAcentral lists this ribosomal RNA (91 nucleotides) under Thalassolituus sp. HI0120. Its description in RNAcentral is "partial 16S ribosomal RNA". It matches the Rfam family "Bacterial small subunit ribosomal RNA", at positions 1448 to 1533 of the family's 1533-position model. The record is from RNAcentral. Lineage: Bacteria; Pseudomonadati; Pseudomonadota; Gammaproteobacteria; Oceanospirillales; Oceanospirillaceae.